CAAUUAUUAUUUAUUUAGAAUCUCUUCUGUGUAAUAUUAAUUUUUCUGAAAAUCUUUAUAAAACUGUCACUAUACAUCCAUAAUUAAGUAGAUUGCAGUAUUAGGACUGUGCUAUUUGGUUACUCUUUAUUUCAUUUGUUGGUCUGGAAAGAAAAUUGCCUAUUUUCAAGUCAAUGCAUAAAUGUCUCCAAAAAAAUACAAUUUGUUUCUAGAGUCCUAACUAUUUCUUGACAUACACUUUCAAUUUUCUUUGUUAAAAUUUUAGACUCACUUCUACCAUGUAUGUUUUUAAUUGAAAUGAAAUCUUUCGGUUUGAAGGCUUUUCUGAUUCCUUUAAGCUCUGAUAUAAUUUCAUGUGCUAGUUCUUUGAAAUUCAUCCCUUUAUUUCCUCGCCACCCUGUAAUUUUUGUUGUCAAAUGUUGGCCUUCUUGGCUUAAAACUUUGUUUUUUCCUUCAUAUUUACUUUUCCCCCUAUGUUCUUGACAGUUUCCUUUACUUUAUCUUCCAUUAUUUCUUUCUGUUAUUUCUCCCAGCAGUAUUAUUUUUAAGUUCUGGAAUCUUUCAUGUUCUUGAUGCAUUUUGUCUUUGAAUUUUUUCUAGGGAGUUUGAACAGGUUGAGUAUUCCAUAUCUGAAAUGCUUGGAACAAGAAUUGUUUCAGAUUUCUGAGUUUAAGAUUUUUUUAAUAUUUGCAUGAGUUUACUGUGUUAUCUUAGGAAAGAGACCUAAGUUUAAACACAAAAUUCAUUUAUGUUUCAUAUACACCUUGUACACAUAGCCUGGA
This 782-nucleotide long non-coding RNA is filed under the name Marmota monax (woodchuck). The record is from RNAcentral. Lineage: Eukaryota; Metazoa; Chordata; Mammalia; Rodentia; Sciuridae.